This 575-nucleotide ribosomal RNA is filed under the name Salmonella enterica. Its description in RNAcentral is "partial 23S ribosomal RNA". It matches the Rfam family "Bacterial large subunit ribosomal RNA", at positions 697 to 1269 of the family's 2925-position model. The record is from RNAcentral. Lineage: Bacteria; Pseudomonadati; Pseudomonadota; Gammaproteobacteria; Enterobacterales; Enterobacteriaceae. RNAcentral also lists the same sequence under 1 other name.
AAGUUGCAGGGUAUAGACCCGAAACCCGGUGAUCUAGCCAUGGGCAGGUUGAAGGUUGGGUAACACUAACUGGAGGACCGAACCGACUAAUGUUGAAAAAUUAGCGGAUGACCUGUGGCUGGGGGUGAAAGGCCAAUCAAACCGGGAGAUAGCUGGUUCUCCCCGAAAGCUAUUUAGGUAGCGCCUCGUGAAUUCAUCUCCGGGGGUAGAGCACUGUUUCGGCUAGGGGGCCAUCCCGGCUUACCAACCCGAUGCAAACUGCGAAUACCGGAGAAUGUUAUCACGGGAGACACACGGCGGGUGCUAACGUCCGUCGUGAAGAGGGAAACAACCCAGACCGCCAGCUAAGGUCCCAAAGUCAUGGUUAAGUGGGAAACGAUGUGGGAAGGCCCAGACAGCCAGGAUGUUGGCUUAGAAGCAGCCAUCAUUUAAAGAAAGCGUAAUAGCUCACUGGUCGAGUCGGCCUGCGCGGAAGAUGUAACGGGGCUAAACCAUGCACCGAAGCUGCGGCAGCGACACUGUGUGUUGUUGGGUAGGGGAGCGUUCUGUAAGCCUGUGAAGGUGUGUCGUGAGGC